RNAcentral lists this ribosomal RNA (342 nucleotides) under uncultured prokaryote. RNAcentral describes it as "partial 16S ribosomal RNA". The record is from RNAcentral.
CCCUACGGGGUGCACCAGGGCUGGUACCGGCAGAUCAAGCGCAUGAUGGAAUCCGUGGGGCAUCCUGUAUUGAAGAUCAAGAGAGUGGCCUACGGUCCGUUGACGUUGGGAAGACUCGCUCCUGGGGACUAUCGUUCCCUUUCUGAAAAAGAAGUCCAGCAUUUAUACAAUCUGGUUCCACUUGAACAGGAGCAGGCCGAAAGGAAAUGAGCAGCAGAAACCGAAGAAAUUAUCCGUACAGCUUAGAUGAAUCUUUGGUUGCCUCUCGGGAAAAGCCUAAGAAGCGUGGACCUUUGCGCAUCCUGGUGGGGGUGCUUUGCAUCGCCUUGCUGGCGGGAGGGC